GUGUCGUGUAUGGAGGAGACCUAUCAAACAUUGGUAGACAAACAUAACACUUCUGUUUUCUGCAGCUUGGCUGGCAUUUAAUAUUUUGCAGCAAAUUUUUAGUUUAACAUAUUUGAACUUGUACUAGAUAGGGUUAAUAGGUUGGCACAAAAGGUCAAAUUAUAAGGCAUUAGGCUUAAUUAAGGGAGAGCAGGAGUGGCAGGAGUAUGUGACAGUUAAAUGGGUUUCCCACAGACUAAUGUCGGUUACAGUGCAACCAUGCCUCAACUUAAGUGAGUUAUUUUCUGGAAAGGGCAAUAGUGAUUAACAGUUUGACAUGCUAGACAUUUCUAGCCAAUCCCAUCUGUUUUAGAGGUUAAGAAAGCACACCUUUAUGAGCUGAUGGAUUGAUUUGUGUGCCUGUCUGCUAAAGAUUAGAAGUCCAAGGCCAGUGCCGUAAAUGUCAGUUAAAGAAUGUUGCACUUUCUUAGUAGUUCUUUAACUGUCAACUGUUUUGUGCUAAGGCUAACUGCGGGAUAUGCAGGUAGAAUAAGAACCACACUUCUCAACCGCCAGACCAGGUGGUGUAAAGAGAACAGAUCUGCUAGUUCAGAGGGAAGCACACUGGCUAGAAAGAUGGAUUAAUUUUUCAAUUCUUAGAGUGCUAUCAUACUAUUCCAGGGAUGAAGAUUCGAGCGUGUGGCUUUUUUCUUCAGUAAUCCUGAUAGACUCUGUACUUAAAUCUGCUAUCAAAUUACCAUAUGCAUUCUUAUUAAGAGGAAUUAGGCCACACAGACACCUUCUGCCAUAACUGAAACGACAAAUGUGAUGAAAAAGCUGACUUUGCAAAAGGAAGAAAAGAAGAAGAAAAAAACCCCAUACUUCGCUCAUAAAGAGAAAACAUUUACUAUUCUCAGUUAUUUUAUUGUAUUCUUUUCCCUGGGGUCAGCAAAUAGUUUUUCUUAAGUUGUCCCAUAUUUGCAACUUUUUUGAAUGCAAGAUGACUGCAGUUGGUAAGGACAACAUCUUACUUGGGUUUUGUUUUGCAUAAUUGCAUAUUUAUGCUAAGUAGCUUUAUAGUAUCAUAUAUGUAUGUGAGUGUCCAUUGUCAACUUUGUUGA
Lacerta agilis (Sand lizard) is the source of this 1100-nucleotide long non-coding RNA. RefSeq lists it as uncharacterized. The transcript is spliced from 3 exons. The record is from RefSeq and is a predicted model, not a curated record. Lineage: Eukaryota; Metazoa; Chordata; Lepidosauria; Squamata; Lacertidae.